This 492-nucleotide ribosomal RNA is filed under the name uncultured bacterium. Its description in RNAcentral is "partial 16S ribosomal RNA". It matches the Rfam family "Bacterial small subunit ribosomal RNA", at positions 29 to 507 of the family's 1533-position model. The record is from RNAcentral.
AGUGAACGCUGGCGGUAGGCCUAACACAUGCAAGUCGAACGGCAGCACAGUAAGAGCUUGCUCUUACGGGUGGCGAGUGGCGGACGGGUGAGGAAUACAUCGGAAUCUACUUUUUCGUGGGGGAUAACGUAGGGAAACUUACGCUAAUACCGCAUACGACCUACGGGUGAAAGCAGGGGAUCUUCGGACCUUGCGCGAUUGAAUGAGCCGAUGCCGGAUUAGCUAGUUGGCGGGGUAAAGGCCCACCAAGGCGACGAUCCGUAGCUGCUCUGAGAGGAUGAUCAGCCACACUGGAACUGGGACACGGUCCAGACUCCUACGGGCGGCAGCAGUUGGGAAUAUUGGACAAUGUGCGCAAGCCUGAUCCAGCCAUACCGCGUGGGUGAAGAAGGCCUUCGGGUUGUAAAGCCCUUUUGUUGGGAAAGAAAAGCAGCAGGUUAAUACCCCGCUGUUCUGACGGUACCCAAAGAAUAAGCACCGGCUAACUUCGUG